GCUCGCUUUGCUGGCACACAGACUAAAUUGGAAGGAUAUAUCAAAGAUUAGCAUGGCCCCUGUGCAAUGAUGACAUCAAGUUUACGCAGUGCUCCAUAAUUUU
This is a small nuclear RNA of Equus asinus (donkey), 103 nucleotides long. Lineage: Eukaryota; Metazoa; Chordata; Mammalia; Perissodactyla; Equidae. The record is from Ensembl.